Molecule: ribosomal RNA, 253 nt
Filed under: uncultured bacterium
Lineage: Bacteria
Description: partial 16S ribosomal RNA
Rfam family: Bacterial small subunit ribosomal RNA
Source: RNAcentral
GACGAACCGUGCGAACGUUAUUCGGAAUCACUGGGCGUAAAGCGCACGUAGGCGGCUUUCUAAGUCAGGGGUGAAAUCCUGGAGCUCAACUCCAGAACUGCCUUUGAUACUGGAGAGCUAGAGUCCGGAAGAGGUGAGUGGAACUGCGAGUGUAGAGGUGAAAUUCGUAGAUAUUCGCAAGAACACCAGUGGCGAAGGCGGCUCACUGGUCCGGUACUGACGCUGAGGUGCGAAAGCGUGGGGAGCAAACAGG